GACGGGGGAUGCGAGCGUUAUCCGGAAUGAUUGGGUGUAAAGGGUCCGCAGGUGGCCCGGUCAGUCCGCUGUCAAAGCCUGGGGCUCAACCCUGGAGAGGCGGCGGAGACCACCGGGCUUGAGUCCGGUAGGGGCAGAGGGAAUUCCCGGUGGAGCGGUGAAAUGCGUAGAGAUCGGGAAGAACGCCAAGGGCGAAGGCACUCUGCUAGGCCUGAUUUCGCGACUGACACUCAGGGACGAGAGCCAGGGGAGCGAAUGGG
This 260-nucleotide ribosomal RNA is filed under the name uncultured bacterium. RNAcentral's name for it is "partial 16S ribosomal RNA". It matches the Rfam family "Bacterial small subunit ribosomal RNA", at positions 524 to 776 of the family's 1533-position model. The record is from RNAcentral.